GUAGGUGGGCAAGCGUUGUCCGGGAAUAUUGGGCGUAAAGCGCGCGCAGGGCGGUCCUUUAAGUCUGAUGUGAAAGCCCACGGCUCAACCGUGGAGGGUCAUUGGAAACUGGGGGACUUGAGCACAGAAGAGGAAAGCGGAAUUCCAAGUGUAGCGGUGAAAUGCGUAGAGAUUUGGAGGAACACCAGUGGCGAAGGCGGCUUUCUGGUCUGUAACUGACGCUGAGGCGCGAAAGCGUGGGGAGCAAACAGGAUUAGAUACCCUGGUAGUCCACGCCGUAAACGAUGAGUGCUAAGUGUUAGGGGGUUUCCGCCCCUUAGUGCUGCAGCUAACGCAUUAAGCACUCCGCCUGGGGAGUACGGCCGCAAGGCUG
RNAcentral lists this ribosomal RNA (373 nucleotides) under uncultured organism. Its description in RNAcentral is "partial 16S ribosomal RNA". It matches the Rfam family "Bacterial small subunit ribosomal RNA", at positions 526 to 896 of the family's 1533-position model. The record is from RNAcentral.